GACGAACGCUGGCGGCGUGCCUAACACAUGCAAGUCGAGCGGGGAUUUAAGUGGAAGUUCUUCGGAAUGGAGAUUUAAAUUCUAGCGGCGGACGGGUGAGUAACGCGUGAACAAUCUGUCCCGGACAGGGGGAUAACACUUGGAAACAGGUGCUAAUACCGCAUAAGACCACGGCCUCGCAUGGGGCUGAGGUAAAAGGAGCAAUCCGGUUCGGGGUGAGUUCGCGUCCGAUUAGCUAGUUGGUGAGGUAACGGCCCACCAAGGCGACGAUCGGUAGCCGGCCUGAGAGGGUGAACGGCCACAUUGGAACUGAGAGACGGUCCAAACUCCUACGGGAGGCAGCAGUGGGGAAUAUUGGGCAAUGGGCGAAAGCCUGACCCAGCAACGCCGCGUGAGGGAAGAAGGUUUUCGGAUUGUAAACCUCUGUCCUAUGGGACGAAGGAAGUGACGGUACCAGAGGAGGAAGCCCCGGCUAACUACGUG
RNAcentral lists this ribosomal RNA (483 nucleotides) under uncultured bacterium. RNAcentral describes it as "partial 16S ribosomal RNA". It matches the Rfam family "Bacterial small subunit ribosomal RNA", at positions 28 to 507 of the family's 1533-position model. The record is from RNAcentral.